CACCCCCCCGGCGGCUAGGACGGAUCUGGCAUACCCACCGCCCACUACCCCGCACCGACGCACCACUCCUGUGCAGCGCAGCCUCACCUCCGUGCCCCAUGACGGCGCACCACCCCUUCCCCCGCGCCUCCGCACCACCCUCUCGCCCGGCGCCGUCCCACGACCCCUCUCCCAUGAUGCCGAACCACCUCCUUCCCCGCGCCUCCUCCCUGUAGAUCCAACCCGAGCAGGCCACCCCGUCCAUGGAUGCUAUGGUUUGUCGACGGCCAGAGGCAGAGGUACUCCUCUACGCUGCUCUGCCUCGGCGUCCUAGCCCCGCAUCAAUUCCGUCCCCGUCGAGCGAUGCGCCGCCGCCGUGGCGAGACCCAUCCGGCCGCCGCAACGCCGCCCCACCUCCGCACAUUUUUCACUCCGGAUCCAAAAAAAGAGCACAUGGCGCAGCCCCUGCCUCCUCCGCCCCGGAUCCAUGGAGCCCACAGUGUCAGCGAGAGGCCCCCUCUUCUCUGUCGCGAGCUCGGGCCAACCAUUACUCAGCCACACGCCGGUGCCUCCCUCCUCCAUGGACCCGACGCCGAUGCCAGCCACAGGAGGCGCCGGCGCGCAAGGGACAACGGUGUGCGUGUGCUCAACCUCCAAAAAAGGCAAAAUACCAGCGAUUCCAGGAGCGCGCGGUGAUGUUCAACGCUGGCGAGGACACCCCGUCUGUUCAGAAAGGGAUAACUUGUUUUUUUUGUUGGAUUUUGGAUGAACAUUUGAUGCCUCGUGCGUUUCAGCGGUGAGGCUGCAGAUCAUGCGGUGCAGUUGAGUGCGGCAUGCGGUUUCGUGUGCGGUUUGUUUCAGUGUGUUUUACUUUUUUGUUGUGCCCUUGGGGAUAAUUGCAUGUUUGUAAAUUGGGUGUGCCCACUGUCCACCGUUCAGUUCGAAAAACGAUCCCUUAAAAACA
Long non-coding RNA from Triticum dicoccoides, 943 nucleotides. RefSeq lists it as uncharacterized. The record is from RefSeq and is a predicted model, not a curated record. The transcript is spliced from 2 exons. Lineage: Eukaryota; Viridiplantae; Streptophyta; Magnoliopsida; Poales; Poaceae.